Vespula pensylvanica (western yellowjacket) is the source of this 804-nucleotide long non-coding RNA. RefSeq lists it as uncharacterized. The transcript has 2 exons. The record is from RefSeq and is a predicted model, not a curated record. Lineage: Eukaryota; Metazoa; Arthropoda; Insecta; Hymenoptera; Vespidae.
UUUUUAUUAUUAUUACUAUUAUUACUAUUAUUAUUAUUAUUAUUAUUAUUAUUAUUAUUAUUAUUAUUGUCGGAGUAAGAAGUAUAAAAAACAAAAAGUAAAGUUCCUUGAAAAUUUGAGACGGAAAGCGCGUUUCGAGAUAUGACGUGACGAUAAUUCUCGUUAUAUUGUAAUAAGAUGGAUAAAUUCUAUCUUUUCGUUGGACGAAGCCCUUUGGCAGCAAAACUCGAAUCACGUUUUCCGUAUCACGAGAACAGACUGCCAUUGUGUUGGACUUUUUUUGUAAUAAAUGCAUAUAAACCGAAGGGCAGAAUACAUUGCUGAGAGAGAAUGUAAGUGUGUGAAUGUAAGAAAGAGAAAGAAAUAGAGAGAAAGAGAGAGAGAGAGAGAGAGAGCGACCGAACGACCGAGCGAAAAGGGAGUAGGAGAAUGCACUUGUAUGAGAGAAAAAGAGAGAAAAAGAGAGAAAGAGAGAGAGAGAGAUAUGCUCGCAUACACGUGUUUGGUCGUUAAAUAUUUUAUGAAAUAAAAUUGAAGAGAGAGAGAGAGAGAGAAGAGAGAGAGAGAGAGAGAGAGAGAGAGAGAGAGAGGAAGCGUGCGUUAUGAUGUGUACGAAGCUGAUCGGAUUUCGAAAAGCGCAAGCGAUCAUCAUCGUUAAUAAGGAAAAAUAAUGUUUUUCUCUUCGAACUUCGGCUCGCGUCGAAAAAUAAACAUUUCGUUUCGCAUCAAUGAUUUUUCGAAAACAAAGAAAAAAGAAAUAUGGAGAAAAUAGAAAGAGAACAGCUUGGUGUACUUGGAGAAAUA